RNAcentral lists this long non-coding RNA (574 nucleotides) under Eucalyptus grandis. Its description in RNAcentral is "long non-coding RNA (EGRA_LNC003480)". The record is from RNAcentral. Lineage: Eukaryota; Viridiplantae; Streptophyta; Magnoliopsida; Myrtales; Myrtaceae.
UUCCGUCAAAACUGAUCAUUGAUUUAUUUGUAAAGAUUCACAGCUCCAUUAGGCAUCAUAACAUGAUUGUCAUGAUAGUCCAUGAGUCUUACUAUACGAUUUUCAUUUUCCUGCCAAUUGUACGAUACGAUUGACAAGGGAUGAGUUUGUUUGUGGGCCGGGAAUACUUCUGUUUCGUACUAAUACGUUUAUGCAUUUCCAUUUCUAUAUAAACUCUUUUCUACUGGAUCAAUUUGUGUCCAUUUCCCAUCUCAUUAUCAAUUACCAUUUCUAUAUCAACAAACGCAAUGUGAAAAAAUAUUAGGUGCAAUCAUGAUGCCACAUCGUCCAUGCAGUUGUCUAUUCAAUGGAUGACAUGUGUUUAAGGCAUCAUAACAUGAUUGUCCAUGAGUCGUAUUAUACGAUUUUCAUUUUCCUACCAAUUGUACCGUACAAUUGACGAGGGAUGAUUUUGUUUGUGGACCGGGAAUACUUUUGUUUCGUACUAAUACGUUUAUGCAUUUAUAAACUCCUUUCUACUGGAUCAGUUUGUGUCCAUUUCCCAUCUCAUUAUCAAUAACCAUUUCUGUAUUGA